GACGAACGCUGGCGGCGUGCCUAAUACAUGCAAGUCGAACGAGAGCGACCGGUGCUUGCACUGGUCAAUCUAGUGGCGAACGGGUGAGUAACACGUGGGUAACCUGCCCAUCAGAGGGGGAUAACAUCCGGAAACGGAUGCUAAAACCGCAUAGGUCUUCGAGCCGCAUGGCUUGAAGAGGAAAAGAGGCGCAAGCUUCUGCUGAUGGAUGGACCCGCGGUGCAUUAGCUAGUUGGUGAGGUAACGGCUCACCAAGGCCGUGAUGCAUAGCCGACCUGAGAGGGUGAACGGCCACAUUGGGACUGAGACACGGCCCAAACUCCUACGGGAGGCAGCAGUAGGGAAUCUUCCGCAAUGGACGCAAGUCUGACGGAGCAACGCCGCGUGAGUGAAGAAGGUUUUCGGAUCGUAAAACUCUGUUGUUAGAGAAGAACAAGUGCUAGAGUAACUGUUAGCGCCUUGACGGUAUCUAACCAGAAAGCCACGGCUAACUACGUGCCAGCAGCCGCGGUAAUACGUAGGUGGCAAGCGUUGUCCGGAUUUAUUGGGCGUAAAGCGAGCGCAGGCGGUUCCUUAAGUCUGAUGUGAAAGCCCCCGGCUCAACCGGGGAGGGUCAUUGGAAACUGGGGAACUUGAGUGCAGAAGAGGAGAGUGGAAUUCCAUGUGUAGCGGUGAAAUGCGUAGAUAUAUGGAGGAACACCAGUGGCGAAGGCGACUCUCUGGUCUGUAACUGACGCUGAGGCUCGAAAGCGUGGGUAGCAAACAGG
RNAcentral lists this ribosomal RNA (767 nucleotides) under uncultured Granulicatella sp. RNAcentral describes it as "bacterial SSU rRNA". It matches the Rfam family "Bacterial small subunit ribosomal RNA", at positions 28 to 776 of the family's 1533-position model. Lineage: Bacteria; Bacillati; Bacillota; Bacilli; Lactobacillales; Carnobacteriaceae. The record is from RNAcentral.